This is a long non-coding RNA of Bactrocera neohumeralis, 1200 nucleotides long. RefSeq lists it as uncharacterized. The record is from RefSeq and is a predicted model, not a curated record. The transcript is spliced from 2 exons. NCBI's taxonomy places the organism in Eukaryota, Metazoa, Arthropoda, Insecta, Diptera, Tephritidae.
UUGUGUGACAUAUUGCAAAAUAAGCCGAGUGCAGGCGUGUGCAAUAUUAUUGCAUUUACAGACAUUUAUUUAUUAGCUGCAUAUUUACAUAAACAAAAAUGUACCAUAUAUACAGAGUGCACAUGUCUAGGCAUUAAUCAGUUGUUAGCUUGUCGAUUUUGUAUUGUCUACAAUCUGUUCUAUAGAGGAUCAAUUGGUUAAUAUAUUAAUUAUGCAACUGCGAUAUAAGUAUUUGUAAACAAAAAUGUAUAUUUUACUUAAUAUACGACAGCUACUGUAUAAUGGCGGAUCAUUGCUUAUAUUAAUAUCUUGUUUAUAUGUACUUUAGGUGUAUUAGAAAUGUACUUUCCGAAGCCACUUGAAUUUUUUUAUGCCUAUAAAAAGCAAAACUGUAUGAGAUGAUUAUAGUUGGAAGAAGAGAUUCAGUAGAUAUUGAAGGUUUUUUCGACGCGAUAAAAUCCAUAUACGCUCAACAAUGAUCCUACAACGCUGUUCAAAAUAUAUUGGGUAAAUAAGUAGUUUGCAUGAUUUACAAUUGGAGAAUUUGGCUUGGCUGACCAAUAACACACUCAUUGGCUCUAAUACCGCUUCCUCCGCUCCUGCCGCUCAUUGUCGGGAGUGGGUGCUUAUUCAUCAACUUUCACCGGACAAACGUACCCACCCGGCCAAUGUCGCGAAGAUAAUUCUCCGUAUUUGGUGUGAUCAGAAAAGCGUGCUGUAUUGGGAGCUUCUAAAAAGUUAGAAAACAUCGACGUUAAGGCUGUAGACAACAACUCUCAUCGACUAGAUACGAGACAACAACUUUCCAUCAUGACAACGGUCGUUCUCAUUUUGCAAAAUCGCUUAAAAAAUAUUUGGAAAAUAGCGCCUGGGAAGUUUUGCCUCAUACACCAGACCUUGCUCCUUCUGAUUAUCAUUUGGUCCGGUCGAUGUAGAACAUCCCACUGGAAUAAGAAAAGGAUAUGAAAAAUUUGCUUGAUACAUUCUUGGCCGCCAAGCCAGCGCAGUUUUUUUUUGAUACUGAAUCCACGAAUUGUCAGAAAGAUGGGGAAAUGCUGUACAUAGCUUCAGAUGGACAGUGUUGGAAAUAAUAUUAUUGUACAUGUUUUUAUUAAAUGAACAUUCAAAUUUUGAAAAAAACUGCACGAAUAUAGUUAUAGAUCCAAUAAAUAUGGGUCCGUUACGAAUGUACUGUUUGUA